This 428-nucleotide ribosomal RNA is filed under the name uncultured bacterium. RNAcentral's name for it is "bacterial SSU rRNA". It matches the Rfam family "Bacterial small subunit ribosomal RNA", at positions 49 to 524 of the family's 1533-position model. The record is from RNAcentral.
UAACCAUGCAAGUCGAGCGAGAUCUUCGGAUCUAGCGGCGGACGGGUGAGUAACGCGUGGGAACAUACCCUUUGGUACGGAAUAGCCUCGGGAAACUGGGAGUAAUACCGUAUGUGCCCUUCGGGGGAAAGAUUUAUCGCCAAAGGAUUGGCCCGCGUUGGAUUAGGUAGUUGGUGGGGUAAUGGCCUACCAAGCCGACGAUCCAUAGCUGGUUUGAGAGGAUGAUCGGCCACACUGGGACUGAGACACGGCCCAGACUCCUACGGGAGGCAGCAGUGGGGAAUCUUAGACAAUGGGCGCAAGCCUGAUCUAGCCAUGCCGCGUGAUUGAUGAAGGCCUUAGGGUUGUAAAGAUCUUUCAGCUGGGAAGAUAAUGACGGUACCAGCAGAAGAAGCCCCGGCUAACUCCGUGCCAGCAGCCGCGGUAAU